AUUUAAUGAUGAUCACACCUAUUAAGUAUGUUUUUUCUGGCAUCUCUAAUGUUAGACUUGUUUAAGUACCGGUCAAUGAAUACAACCCUUGACAAAUAUCUGAUA
The sequence is a small nucleolar RNA, 105 nucleotides long. It matches the Rfam family "Small nucleolar RNA snR48". From Rfam's summary of the family: snR48 is a member of the C/D class of snoRNA which contain the C (UGAUGA) and D (CUGA) box motifs. Most of the members of the box C/D family function in directing site-specific 2'-O-methylation of substrate RNAs.